RNAcentral lists this ribosomal RNA (946 nucleotides) under Nannochloropsis oceanica. RNAcentral describes it as "bacterial SSU rRNA". It matches the Rfam family "Bacterial small subunit ribosomal RNA", at positions 66 to 1020 of the family's 1533-position model. Lineage: Eukaryota; Eustigmatophyceae; Eustigmatales; Monodopsidaceae. The record is from RNAcentral.
ACGGAAAUUAACUUCGGUUAAUUUUAGUGGCGGACGGGUGAGUAACACGUGAGAAUUCGCCUUUAGGAGGGGGAUAACGGAUGGAAACAUUCGCUAAAACCCCAUAUGCCCCUGGGUGAAACAGAGGAGAUAAGUAAUACUGACUCUUACCUCUGCCUGAAGAGAAGCUCGCGGCUGAUUAGCUAGUUGGUAGGGUAAAGGCCUACCAAGGCGACGAUCAGUAGCUGGUCUGAGAGGACGAUCAGCCACACUGGAACUGAGACACGGUCCAGACUCCUACGGGAGGCAGCAGUGAGGAAUUUUCUGCAAUGGGCGAAAGCCUGACAGAGCAAUACCGCGUGAGGGAUGAAGACUUACUGAGUUGUAAACCUCGGUACCUUAAGGAAGAAGAUCUGACGGUACUUAAGGUGGAAAGCAUCGGCUAACUCCGUGCCAGCAGCCGCGGUAAGACGGGGGAUGCAAGUGUUAUCCGGAUUUACUGGGCGUAAAGCGUCUGCAGGUGGUUUUCUAAGUCUACUGUUAAAUCUUGAGGCUCAACCUCAAAUCUGCAGUAGAAACUAGAAGACUUGAGUAUAGUAGGGGUAGAGGGAAUUUCCAGUGGAGCGGUGAAAUGCGUAGAUAUUGGAAAGAACACCGAUGGCGAAGGCACUCUACUGGGCUAUUACUGACACUCAGAGACGAAAGCUAGGGGAGCAAAUGGGAUUAGAUACCCCAGUAGUCCUAGCCGUAAACGAUGGAUACUCGAUGUUGGACGUAUCAACCCGUUCAGUAUCUUAGCUAACGCGUUAAGUAUCCCGCCUGGGGAGUACGCUCGCAAGAGUGAAACUCAAAGGAAUUGACGAGGGCCCGCACAAGCGGUGGAGGAUGUGGUUUAAUUCGAUGCAACGCGAAGAACCUUACCAGGGUUUGCUAGAAGUGUUGGUUUUCUGAAAAGAAUUUCCUUAUU